Molecule: ribosomal RNA, 561 nt
Filed under: Triticum aestivum (bread wheat)
Lineage: Eukaryota; Viridiplantae; Streptophyta; Magnoliopsida; Poales; Poaceae
Description: partial small subunit ribosomal RNA
Source: RNAcentral
AUGGUUGGCGGUAUGCUGCACGUUGUCGGCAACCUGUCGGUGGUUGCCGACAGCAACGAUUGGUAUGACAAGACUGUGCUGGUGGCUGUGGACAUGGAGGGCAAGUUGUGGAAGACCAUCUCCGUGCCACGCGGCCAGUAUUAUGGGACAGUUGGGUGGUCACAGGGGUGCCUGCACUAUGCUGCUAUAUCUCCAGCUCCUCUCGCUGUCGGGGAUGACAACGAUGAGGGUUCACUCAACAUGGCUGAAGAGGUAGCGAUCUGGCGCCUUGAGAAUUAUGACACCCAGCAAUGGGCGCUGAAGCAAAGUUUCAGAGUUGAUAAGGUGCUGGACCUAGCUAAGCUGGGGUACAAGCUGGUUGGGUUCCAUCCCGAUCGUGACACCUUCUUUUUGGUCAGCAGUGGUCUUUAUGGCGGAGUUGCGCCUUCAUUGGUGUCGUGGGACAUGCGCCGCCGCCAAAUUGGUGAUUUCAUUGACCUCGAGGAAGGCAGUGGGGGGCCAUAUCUGCCUUAUGUUCCUCUCUUCUCAUCAGAGCCACUAGCAGAUGCAGAUGGGCACUAG